AGGACACAAGUUAAAUUUGCAUUUCAGAUAAACAAUGAUUUUUUUUGUAGAAAUAUGUCCCAUAUAAUAUUUGGGAUAUACUUAUACUAAAAAUAUUAUUUGCUUCAUGGAAUUCAAAAUGAACUGGGUGUCUUGUAUCUU
Molecule: microRNA precursor, 141 nt
Filed under: Mustela putorius furo (domestic ferret)
Lineage: Eukaryota; Metazoa; Chordata; Mammalia; Carnivora; Mustelidae
Description: miRNA (ENSMPUG00000021657.1)
Rfam family: mir-1302 microRNA precursor family (bases 41-92)
Source: RNAcentral